RNAcentral lists this ribosomal RNA (482 nucleotides) under uncultured bacterium. RNAcentral describes it as "partial 16S ribosomal RNA". It matches the Rfam family "Bacterial small subunit ribosomal RNA", at positions 28 to 523 of the family's 1533-position model. The record is from RNAcentral.
AAUGAACGUUGGCGGCGUGGAUUAGGCAUGCAAGUCGAGCGAGAACCGUAGCAAUACGGGGACAGCGGCGAAAGGGACAGUAAUGUGUAGGUACCUACCCCUGGAUCUGGGAUAGCUGCGGGAAACUGCAGGUAAUACCGGAUAAUGUCUCCGGACCAAAGGUGUGAUUCCGUCUGGGGAGGGGCCUGCAUCCUAUUAGCUAGUUGGCGGGGUAAUGGCCCACCAAGGCGACGAUGGGUAGCGGGUGUGAGGGCACGACCCGCGUCAUUGGGACUGAGACACGGCCCAGACACCGACGGGUGGCUGCAGUGGAGGAUCUUCGGCAAUGGGCGAAAGCCUGACGGAGCGACGCCGCGUGCGGGAUGAAGGCCUUCGGGUUGUAAACCGCUGUCGUAGAGGAGGAAAUGCAGGUGGGUUCUCCCAUCUGUUUGACCUAUUCUAGGAGGAAGUACGGGCUAAGUUCGUGCCAGCCGCCGCCGUAA